This 82-nucleotide transfer RNA is filed under the name Escherichia coli. Its description in RNAcentral is "tRNA-Tyr(gta)". It matches the Rfam family "tRNA". From Rfam's summary of the family: Transfer RNA (tRNA) molecules are approximately 80 nucleotides in length. Their secondary structure includes four short double-helical elements and three loops (D, anti-codon, and T loops). The record is from RNAcentral. Lineage: Bacteria; Pseudomonadati; Pseudomonadota; Gammaproteobacteria; Enterobacterales; Enterobacteriaceae. RNAcentral also lists the same sequence under 12 other names.
GCUGGUGUACGCUCAACGGGUAGAGUCGGUGCCAGCCUGUACAGGCUGAUCAUGUAUGCGGGUUCGACCCCCGCCACCAGCA